Molecule: ribosomal RNA, 855 nt
Filed under: Libania rhodia
Lineage: Eukaryota; Metazoa; Mollusca; Gastropoda; Stylommatophora; Oxychilidae
Description: Oxychilidae gen. n. sp. r BH-2021 partial large subunit ribosomal RNA
Rfam family: Archaeal large subunit ribosomal RNA (bases 355-599)
Source: RNAcentral
UUUAAUUAUUAUUUUAUUAGAUUUACUAUACCCGAAAUUAGAAGAUCUAAUUUAUUAUUUUAAUAGAGAGAGUAAAACUAAUGUUUCAAAAUUAGGAGUAAAAUAGUAACUUAGGGGUGAAAGGCUUAUCAAUUCUAAUGAUAUCUGGAUUAACUUUAAAUGUAUUUAGUACAGAGGUAACAUUGAAUAAAGGAGUGUUAAGAUUUCUUUAAUAUUGUAUUUUAAAUUUUAAAAAAUUUAUGGGGUAAAUCUCUUAAUUAGUUUUUACUUAUAAAUAUAUAAUUUUGUAAUCUUUACUUUAAAGUUAUAUUUUUUUAAAUUAAUAAUUGAAUUAAUUUUGUUAAAAUUAGUAUAGUAAAAUAUUUGUUUUUAAGGAACUCGGCAAAUUAAUAUUCAACUGUUUAUCAAAAACAUAGCAUUAUGUAUAAAUAUAAAGUUUUACCUGCCCGGUGAAUAUUUUUAACGGCCGCAGUACCUUGACUGUGCUAAGGUAGCAUAAUAAAUUGACUUUUAAUUGAAGUCUUGAAUGAAAGGUGUAAUGGAUAUUUACUGUCUCAGUAAAAUUUACUUUAAUUUACUUAAAAGGUGAAAAUACCUUUGGUUUUUUAAUAGACGAGAAGACCCUAGGAGUUUGAUUUAUUUUUGUUGGGGCGACAUUACAGCAUUUAACCUGUAUUAUUAUUAUUUUGUCUUUAACGAAAGUUUUUAAUUAUAACUAAACUACCCUAGGGAUAACAGCAUAAUUUAUUUUUAAGUUUGUGACCUCGAUGUUGGAUUAGGGAUUUUUAAUGUUAACAACUUUAAAAUUUUGUUCUGUUCGAACAUUUGUCCCUACAUGAUCUGAGUACAGACCGG